GCAAUUAUUGGUUCUCUGUCCGGCAAAGAAUGUUGCUGUUUGGUUUUGUUCUUUGCAUCGUAAGCCAAAUGUUCAAAUAAAAAAUUUAAUUAAAAGUGUUAUGGUUGUCUAUAAUAUCAUGGGGGGUAGAUCUACAGCGCAACCAAAGAACCUAGAUUGGAUUUAUCCCAUGAGUAAUCAACAACAAGGAGGUUACGAAUGUGGAUAUUAUGUGAUGAAUUGGAUGUUAGACAUAAUUGAAGGGGAAGUAACAAAUGAUUGGAUUGAGGUAAUG
Non-coding RNA from Cajanus cajan (pigeon pea), 274 nucleotides. The record is from RefSeq and is a predicted model, not a curated record. NCBI's taxonomy places the organism in Eukaryota, Viridiplantae, Streptophyta, Magnoliopsida, Fabales, Fabaceae.